GUCUUGAUAGUUAAAAAAUUUUUAUAACAUGGCUUUGAAGAAGCUAAAUUGGGGUGUGAGAUUCCUUCUCUUGAUG
RNAcentral lists this transfer RNA (76 nucleotides) under Ophioleila elegans. RNAcentral's name for it is "tRNA-Phe". Lineage: Eukaryota; Metazoa; Echinodermata; Ophiuroidea; Amphilepidida; Hemieuryalidae. The record is from RNAcentral.